GCAAGACAGUACUAAUAGAAGAAAAGAUGUUGGCUGAAAACAUGUUUUGAAAACAAGAUGUUAGAUGAUAAGAUAUGGCAAAAAAAGCAAAUGGAGAAUCCACAAACACAUAUAGGUUAACUCUACUCCAGCACACUGGGCCUGUGAGAAGCAGAUUGAGCUUGCACCUUCAAGGCCGUUGUGAUCAAUGGGAGAGCAGACAUGCAGACAAUGGAAGGUAAGGGGGCUGGUGUCACCUGAGGAUGAGGAGAAGGCUAAGCAGAGGCAGGAGAGAGCCUCUCUGAUUAGAGAGGCAGAGAUGGAAUCCGGGAGUCUGGCAUCAAGGGGAGCCUAGGGCAUGAACAUGAUGCUGUUCAGCUGUGUCUGUGUUCACAGAGGCACCAAGACGGGUACCAGGGUGUAGAUGCCAAGGACGGAGAACAUUUGAAGAAGGCAUGGACAGUUGGCAGAGGCAACUGAGGUGGCCAGAUUUCUGAUGGCAUCUCUUCAAGGUAUACAUCCAUGGCAGGGAUGAGUCAGCAUCCAGCCUUGCUGGACAUGGAAUCAGACCACAGAGCCUGGUCACGUAGUGCCAUGUAAGUGUCAGUGGGAAGCCUCUCUUACAGUAU
RNAcentral lists this long non-coding RNA (608 nucleotides) under Pan troglodytes (chimpanzee). Its description in RNAcentral is "long non-coding RNA NONPTRT009017". Lineage: Eukaryota; Metazoa; Chordata; Mammalia; Primates; Hominidae. The record is from RNAcentral.